GAUGAACGCUGGCGGCGUGCCUAAUACAUGCAAGUCGAGCGAACAGACGAGGAGCUUGCUCCUCUGACGUUAGCGGCGGACGGGUGAGUAACACGUGGAUAAUCUACCUAUAAGACUGGGAUAACUUCGGGAAACCGGAGCUAAUACGGGAUAAUAAAUUGAACCGCAUGGUUCAAUAGUGAAAGACGGUUUUGCUGUAACUUAUAGAUGGAUCCGCGCCGCAUUAGCUAGUCGGUAAGGUAACGGCCUACCAAGGCAACGAUGCGUAGCCGACCUCAGAGAGUGAUCGGCCACACUGGAACGGAGACACGGUCCAGACGCCUACGGGAGGCAGCAGUAGGGAAUCUUCCGCAACGGGCGAAAGCCUGACGGAGCGACUCCGCGUGAGUGAUGAAAGUCUUCGGAUCGGAAAGCUCUGUUAUUAGGGAAGAACAAAUGUUUAAGUAGCUGUGCACGUCUUGACGGUACCUAGUCAGAAAGCCACGGCUAACUACGUG
This 497-nucleotide ribosomal RNA is filed under the name uncultured bacterium. RNAcentral's name for it is "partial 16S ribosomal RNA". It matches the Rfam family "Bacterial small subunit ribosomal RNA", at positions 28 to 507 of the family's 1533-position model. The record is from RNAcentral.